AUGGCCAUGUUCACAAGCUUCGGCAGGAACGCGCCUUACCUGCGACAGCAGCUAGCUGCCCUCUUGGGCAACACCAGCAUUAGUGUCAAGUUCAUCUGUCUGGUCGUCCUCUUCUCUUACUGCCUCAGUUUUUCAGAACAGGCAAUUCUAAUACUUAGCGUUACUCCGGGUUACCUGCUGGCUCCUGCCUUUUGGGUUUGGACGGCCUUUACCAGUUGCUUUCUCGAGAUUCACUUUUGGGAAGUGGUCGUUGACGUGCUCACUGUGGUGCUCUGUGGCAAGCUUAUCGAGCCACUAUGGGGUGCCAUGGAGAUGAUGACUUUCUUUGCUAUUGUCAAUUUUGGUGAUGCCAUUGUGUCAGCUGUGUUCUAUCUGGUACUCUAUAUGUGUACCAGUAACACAGAUAUGUUGUUUGAUGUGCAUAUUCAUGGUCUCACUGGAUACAUUGCAGGUGUCACCGUUGCAGUCAAACAAAUAAUGCCAGAUCAUAUUUUAGUCAGAACACCAAUUGGAAAAAUAACCAAUAGAAACAUACCUCUUAUGGUGUGGAUCCUAUACUUGAUUCUUUAUCUUUUUGGAGUGCUAGAAAGCACGCAUCCAACAAUGUUUCUCAAUGGACUGUUAAUCUCAUGGUUGUAUCUCAGGUUUUACCAAAGACAUAAUAAUGGCUCUAGGGGUGAUAUGGCUGAUAGUUUUACAUUUGCUAGUUUCUUUCCAAAUGUACUCCAGCCACCUAUUGCAGUAGUUUGCAAUACAAUUUACGGCUUUUUCAUAAGGAUAGGUCUUUGUAAAAAGGUAGUCCACAGGUUUGACAUGGCAAAUACGUCACGGAGCUUAUUCAUCAGCAUACCCGGAUUUAAUCCACAUGACAGUGAAAGGCGAAGGCAAAUUGCAUUAAAAGAACUGAGUGAAAGACUAAGUAAAGAUCAUGCAAAGCAACCUCUGCUACCUGAUAGGGGAAAAAAGCAUUCACCAGUACCUUCUGCGGUUGCGGUUCAAAUACCAGAACCUGCGGUAUCGAAGCCUUUGCCUUCUCCUCUCAUACCGCAGAUCAACAUAAAUAUUCACAGUCACCAAUCGCCGAGUGGUAGUAACACGUGAUCUUUAGUUAAGGACUCAUCAACGAGUCCUGAUGAAUCUUCUGUCAAUGAAUGAAAGUCAGAGUAGAGAUAGUGCAUUAGUCUCAACUUUUCUACGAAAAAAAAGAAGAAAAAAUUAUAUUUCAAAGCUGUACAAAAUCGAUGUUAAAAUAAAAGGUAAUAAAAAAUUAGAUUUAUUGAUGUUAUAAUGUAAAUAUCGUAGCUAAAUUCUUAAGCAAAAUUUUUCAUAGCAAAUGAAAAAUUUUUAUGAUCAGAA
This 1356-nucleotide unclassified non-coding RNA is filed under the name Copidosoma floridanum. Its description in RNAcentral is "transmembrane protein 115, transcript variant X1". Lineage: Eukaryota; Metazoa; Arthropoda; Insecta; Hymenoptera; Encyrtidae. The record is from RNAcentral.